RNAcentral lists this transfer RNA (90 nucleotides) under Bacteroidota bacterium. Its description in RNAcentral is "Bacteroidetes bacterium (bioreactor sludge metagenome) tRNA-Ser". It matches the Rfam family "tRNA". From Rfam's summary of the family: Transfer RNA (tRNA) molecules are approximately 80 nucleotides in length. Lineage: Bacteria; Pseudomonadati; Bacteroidota. The record is from RNAcentral.
GGAGAGGUGCUCGAGUGGUUGAAGAGGCUACCCUGGAAAGGUAGUAUACCCGCAAGGGUAUCGUGGGUUCGAAUCCCACCUUCUCCGCAA